GCUGGAUGGAGAGCAGGGUGCCCCAGGCCUACCUGGAGGGGAAGGUCAACCUGGGUCAAAAGGGGAACAGGGUGCUAGAGGAGCCCCAGGAGAUCCAGGUGUCCAGGGAGGCCUCGGGGAGACUGGAGAGAAGGGCCCAAAAGGGCAA
This is a long non-coding RNA of Elgaria multicarinata webbii, 148 nucleotides long. RefSeq lists it as uncharacterized. The record is from RefSeq and is a predicted model, not a curated record. The transcript has 3 exons. NCBI's taxonomy places the organism in Eukaryota, Metazoa, Chordata, Lepidosauria, Squamata, Anguidae.